RNAcentral lists this ribosomal RNA (235 nucleotides) under uncultured bacterium. RNAcentral describes it as "partial 16S ribosomal RNA". It matches the Rfam family "Bacterial small subunit ribosomal RNA", at positions 96 to 334 of the family's 1533-position model. The record is from RNAcentral.
UGGCGGACGGGUGAGUAAUGUCUGGGAAACUGCCCGAUGGAGGGGGAUAACUACCGGAAACGGUAGCUAAUACCGCAUAACGUCGCAAGACCAAAGAGGGGGACCUCCGGGCCUCUUGCCAUCGGAUGUGCCCAGAUGGGAUUAGCUAGUAGGUGGGGUAACGGCUCACCUAGGCGACGAUCCCUAGCUGGUCUGAGAGGAUGACCAGCCACACUGGAACUGAGACACGGUCCAG